This is a long non-coding RNA of Bos taurus (domestic cattle), 933 nucleotides long. NCBI's taxonomy places the organism in Eukaryota, Metazoa, Chordata, Mammalia, Artiodactyla, Bovidae. The record is from Ensembl.
GUAGUAUCAGAUUUGUGUUGGCAGAGAUGGGAAGGCGUCCUGACAAGGAGAAAAGGGAAGAAACCCAACUCCGAUGGGGGGACUGUGUGGGGCAGGGGUGGCCAGUGGAGGAGGGAGAGGACCAGGGAAUGGGGAGACAAGCUCCAGCAGACUCCUCCCAGAUGUCCUUCUCAUGCGUGUCAGCAGCAGCAGAAGUCAAGGAGUCACUCUCUACCCUGGACUGUGGGACCAUCUGAACCAGAAGUCAGCUAGAAGAACGUGUGAAGAAGCUGCAAAGGUUGGAAAAAGAAAGAUUCCAGAAGACUGAAGAAGAUAAAACAUGGAAUCAUAAAAUUUUAAAGUACAAAUGAAUCUCAGAGAAGAUCAUGUCCACACACUUGAUCUCUUUAAGGAAACAGGCAGAGAGGUGAUGAGCUUUGCCUACAGUGAACCUGAAUCUGCAGGACCUCCUUGGGCUUAUGGAUUAGACUCCACCCUCGCCUCCUUCUCCAGUCCCCAGCCCUUCUGGUCUCUUAAUACCAAGUCUAUUAGAUGGAAGUUUCCCCGACCAGGGAUUGAACCCACACCCCCUGCAUUGGAAGUGCUGAGUCUUAACCACUGAACUGCCAGGAAAGUCCCCUACUGAGCAAAAAUCUUGGUCCAUGAAGGUCAGCAGUGAUGGGAGACAUCUUGGUGAAGCUUCUCCUUCCUCCUUUCAUCCCAAGAUCUCCUUUCCUGAAUUUCCCAUUAAUCUCCACUACCACUAUGGAGCUGGUCUUUGGGGGCCCACAGUGCCCUGCAGUGUCCCACACGUGUGGAGAAAAGCGUCCCUUACCUGCCAUGAGCUGAGCUGAAAAUGGCUGUCAGUGUUAUUGGGACCCCACGAAGGGAUCGGAUAAGAUGAUGGCAGAGGCGGCCCCCUCCUGAGCCCCCCACAGGAUGUUCUCCUGUCCA